AAAACUGCUAUAUCCCAUUUUUCUGAUGUGUUCAAUUCUGUCAUACAUCUGCUUGGAUUGAGGGUGAUUUACAUGACAGGUGGUUGCUAUACCUGGUCUAAUAAACAGGAAAACCCAACCUUAGAAAAAUUGGAUAGAGUGCUUAUGUCUCCUGACUGGGAAGACUUAUACCCUCUUGCUUCUGUUGCUAAGUUGAUCAAAGAGUUAUCUGAUCAUAAUCCUUUGUUAUUGGAUAGUGGGAGAGCCUCCUCUAGAGCACCUGGAAAUAGAUGCUUCCGAUUUGAUAAUGCUUGGCUUCAAAAUCCAGAAUUUCUUCCUCUGGUGGCUGGGAUUUGGUCUAGGCCGGUGUACACAAACAACCCCAUCGAUUCCUUGAACAUUAAACUGAAGAGGUUCAAGAAAUUCUUUAAAGGGUGGGGAUCUAAUUUGUUUGGUCACAACAAGAUUAGAAAGAAGCUUAUUAAACUUGAACUUCAGGAGCUGGAAAAGCUCGAAGAGGAAGUUGGCCUAUGUGGUGAGUAUACUAGGAAACUAAAUAUCCUAGUAGAGCUCAAUGAUAUAUAUGUGGAAGAAGAACUUCAUUGGCAUCAACUAUCUAAUGAGAGGUGGUUAUUGAAAGGAGACGAUAACACUGAUUUUUUUCAUAAGGUUGCUAAUGGGCGUCGUAGGAAAAACUCUAUGAUCUCCCUUGAAUGUGGAUCUGUGGUUAUAGAUGGAACCAAAAACUUAUUAGCCCAUGCCAUCGAAUACUAUAAGAACCUUUUUGGACCGGCCCCUGGAAAUAUUUGCCAAAUUGAUGCAACUCUAUGGUCUCAGGAGGAAAAAAUUACCCCUAAGGACAAUGAUGAUUUGACCCGACCUUUUUCCCUUGAGGAGAUC
This 879-nucleotide ribosomal RNA is filed under the name Triticum aestivum (bread wheat). RNAcentral's name for it is "partial small subunit ribosomal RNA". Lineage: Eukaryota; Viridiplantae; Streptophyta; Magnoliopsida; Poales; Poaceae. The record is from RNAcentral.